AUGCUGAAAGAAAGAUGGAGAUUACUCACUACAGCGAUGGAUUCCUUUCCGCAGACAACCAAAAUAACACUGAAGAUCGCUCUUUGAAUCAUCGGUUGCAGGAUCAUCCCCGACGUCAAGAGCCUUCCUGCUUACAACUCGAUAGAUCUGGGUGAGUACCUCUGUGAAGGCAUUCUCUACAUUCAUAGACUCAAGAGCGGAAGUCUCCAUGAAAAAGGUGUUUUCACGCUCUGCAAAUGCGGUGGCGUCAUCCGUGAUAACAGCUCGCAGGUGACGCAGGUCUGCCUUGUUUCCUACCAGCAUGAUCACAAUGUUGGCAUCUGUGUGAUCACGUAGCUCCUUUAGCCACCUCUCGACGUUUUCGAAUGUAACAUGACGAGUGACAUCGUAUACUAGUAGUGCUCCAACAGCACCUCGAUAGUAUGCACUUGUUAUGGCACGAUACCUUUUAUCCAAUAAUAAUAAAUCAAAAUA
RNA transcript from Mercurialis annua (annual mercury), 474 nucleotides. RefSeq lists it as uncharacterized. NCBI's taxonomy places the organism in Eukaryota, Viridiplantae, Streptophyta, Magnoliopsida, Malpighiales, Euphorbiaceae. The record is from RefSeq and is a predicted model, not a curated record. The transcript is spliced from 2 exons.